GUAGGUGGCAAGCGUUGUCCGGGAAUUAUUGGGGCGUAAAGCGCGCGCAGGCGGUUCUUUAAGUCUGGUGUGAAAGCCCACGGGCUCAACCGUGGGAGGGUCAUUGGAAACUGGAGAACUUGAGUACAGAAGAGGAAAGCGGAAUUCCACGUGUAGCGGUGAAAUGCGUAGAGAUGUGGAGGAACACCAGUGGCGAAGGCGGCUUUCUGGUCUGUAACUGACGCUGAGGCGCGAAAGCGUGGGGAGCAAACAGGAUUAGAUACCCUGGUAGUCCACGCCGUAAACGAUGAGUGCUAAGUGUUAGGGGGUUUCCGCCCCUUAGUGCUGCAGCUAACGCAUUAAGCACUCCGCCUGGGGAGUACGGCCGCAAGGCUG
Molecule: ribosomal RNA, 375 nt
Filed under: uncultured organism
Description: partial 16S ribosomal RNA
Rfam family: Bacterial small subunit ribosomal RNA
Source: RNAcentral